Molecule: transfer RNA, 65 nt
Filed under: Desmognathus quadramaculatus (black-bellied salamander)
Lineage: Eukaryota; Metazoa; Chordata; Amphibia; Caudata; Plethodontidae
Description: tRNA-Cys
Source: RNAcentral
GCCCUGUGGUGUACAGCACAUAAAAUUGCAAAUUUUAAAGAGCAAAUAGACUCCUGCCGGGGCUU